AAGGAUUUAAGUUAAAUAAACUUGUAGCCUUCAAAGCUAUCUAUAAAGGUCCUCUUUAAGCCUUA
This 65-nucleotide transfer RNA is filed under the name Medon apicalis. RNAcentral describes it as "tRNA-Trp". The record is from RNAcentral. Lineage: Eukaryota; Metazoa; Arthropoda; Insecta; Coleoptera; Staphylinidae.